RNAcentral lists this transfer RNA (80 nucleotides) under Termitomyces sp. T159_Od127. RNAcentral describes it as "tRNA-Arg". It matches the Rfam family "tRNA". Rfam says of the family: Transfer RNA (tRNA) molecules are approximately 80 nucleotides in length. The record is from RNAcentral. Lineage: Eukaryota; Fungi; Basidiomycota; Agaricomycetes; Agaricales; Lyophyllaceae.
GGCCGCCUGGCGAAAUGGCAUCGCGUCUGACUACGAUGAUGUAUAUCAGGAGAUUGCAGGUUCGACCCCUGCGGUGGUCA